GACGAACGCUGGCGGCGUGCUUAACACAUGCCAGUCGAACGGAAAGGCCCUGUUCUUGCUGGGGGCUCGAGUGGCGAACGGGUGAGUAACACGUGAGUAACCUGCCCUUGACUUUGGGAUAACUUCAGGAAACUGUGGCUAAUACCUGAUAGGAGCUCCUGCUGCAUGGUGGGGGUUGGAAAGUUUCGGCGGUUGGGGAUGGACUCGCGGGUUAUUAGCUUGUUGGUGGGGUAGUGGCUUACCAAGGCUUUGACGGGUAGCCGGCCUGAGAGGGUGACCGGCGACAAGGGGACUGAGGGACGGACCAGACUGCUACGGGAGGCAGCAGUGGGAAAUAUUGCACAGUGGGCGGAAGCCUGAUGCAAAAACGCCGCGUGCGGAAUGACGGCCUUCGGGUUGUGAACCGCUUUCGCCUGUGACGAAGCGUGAGUGACGGUAAUGGGUGAAGAAGCACCGGCUAACUACGUG
RNAcentral lists this ribosomal RNA (468 nucleotides) under uncultured bacterium. RNAcentral describes it as "partial 16S ribosomal RNA". It matches the Rfam family "Bacterial small subunit ribosomal RNA", at positions 28 to 507 of the family's 1533-position model. The record is from RNAcentral.